RNAcentral lists this ribosomal RNA (663 nucleotides) under Aspergillus ochraceus. Its description in RNAcentral is "eukaryotic LSU rRNA". It matches the Rfam family "Eukaryotic large subunit ribosomal RNA", at positions 34 to 664 of the family's 3401-position model. Lineage: Eukaryota; Fungi; Ascomycota; Eurotiomycetes; Eurotiales; Aspergillaceae. The record is from RNAcentral.
CUAAGCAUAUCAAUAAGCGGAGGAAAAGAAACCAACCGGGAUUGCCUCAGUAACGGCGAGUGAAGCGGCAAGAGCUCAAAUUUGAAAGCUGGCUCCUUCGGAGUCCGCAUUGUAAUUUGCAGAGGAUGCUUUGGGUGCGGCCCCCGUCUAAGUGCCCUGGAACGGGCCGUCAGAGAGGGUGAGAAUCCCGUCUUGGGCGGGGUGUCCGUGCCCGUGUAAAGCUCCUUCGACGAGUCGAGUUGUUUGGGAAUGCAGCUCUAAAUGGGUGGUAAAUUUCAUCUAAAGCUAAAUACUGGCCGGAGACCGAUAGCGCACAAGUAGAGUGAUCGAAAGAUGAAAAGCACUUUGAAAAGAGAGUUAAACAGCACGUGAAAUUGUUGAAAGGGAAGCGCUUGCGACCAGACUCGCCCGCGGGGUUCAGCCGGCAUUCGUGCCGGUGUACUUCCCCGUGGGCGGGCCAGCGUCGGUUUGGGCGGCCGGUCAAAGGCCCCUGGAAUGUAGUACCCUCCGGGGUACCUUAUAGCCAGGGGUGCAAUGCGGCCAGCCUGGACCGAGGAACGCGCUUCGGCACGGACGCUGGCAUAAUGGUCGUAAACGACCCGUCUUAACCUGGGACCCCAAAUGCCAGCGUCCGUGCCUAUCCCUUUCCUCCCUCCAGGCUGG